RNA transcript from Microtus ochrogaster (prairie vole), 2147 nucleotides. It is a transcript of the gene named centrosomal protein 44, with no coding region annotated. NCBI's taxonomy places the organism in Eukaryota, Metazoa, Chordata, Mammalia, Rodentia, Cricetidae. The record is from RefSeq and is a predicted model, not a curated record.
UAUGUAACAGUACUUGAUUGGAUUCAAUUAAUAAUCUUGAUUUUAGUGUUUACCAAUUAAAAAAAUUAGGAAAUCUUUCUUGCGAGCAUUUUCUCUAUGAUCUUCCUUUAACGUCUUUGUGUUUUUCUUUCUUGUCAUCUCAUCUUUUGCUUUCACCUACAGAUCCAAGCUGUACUUGAAUCUUACUCUUCUUCAAAUAUUUAUUCUGCUGGUAAUGAAGAGGAUGUGUUCCCGGGACAUACUUUAUUGUCAGAAAUUUCAUUACCAGAGAUGAAAAGUUACAAGAUUUUUUAGGAGUUGGAGCGGAAUCUAAUAUUCAAUAAUGGCAACAGGCGACUUAAAAAGAAGCUUGCGGAAGCUAGAACAAGUACUUCGUUUGCUAAAUUACCCUAAUGAAGUGGAUUAUGUUGGUUUGAUGAGAGGGGACACCGCAGCAUCCUUGCCCAUCAUCAGCUAUUCUCUUACCUCGUACUCCCCUUAUAUAGCAGAGCUUCUCAUGGAAUCCAAUAUAGAGCUCAUAGCAAAGAAUGAUGUGCGCUUCACAGACACCGUCUAUAAGCUUCUUCGUGAUCAAUUUGAUUAUAAGCCAAUUUUGACAAAAAAGCAGUUUAUACAGUCUGGAUUUGCUGAGUGGAAAAUCCAAAUUGUCUGUGAUGUGUUGAAUUGUGUGAUGAAAAAGCACAAGGAAUUGAUUGGCUCUGACAAGAAUCCAUCAUGCCAAAAGAAGAAGAACAUCUCUGAAAAGCCAGAACCUUGUUUGAGCAGUGAGAACCCCACUGUAGAGGCUGUUGGCGUUGACAUCACUGGCAGGUUCAUGACUUCAGGGAAGAAAAAAGCUGUGGUCAUCCGUCACCUGUACACUGAAGACAGUGCUGACAUGCCCGAAGGGACAGGAAGUUCGGCAGAAGUGAGUGAAGGCUGUGAAGAUUCAGAGCAGACCUCUGACAUCAUGAUUGCUGAGGAGCAGGUCUCCAAUGUUGUGAUUGCUGACGAGCAGGCCUCUGACAUCAAGACUGAGCUGAAAGACGUACGUGAUAAUCCUGAGAUUAUUGCACUUCAGAUCGCACUUGCUGAAUGCCAAGAGAAGCUUAAGAGGCUGACCUGGGUAGAGAAAAGGCUUGAGUGUUUGGAAGCCACAGCAAAAGGGAAAGUGAUGGUCGAUGAGAAGGCCUGGAAUAACCUCGUGAGCCGAGUCACUCUGCUUGAGACAGAGCUGCUGCUGUCUAAGAAGGUAAAUGAAUGCGUAGAGCUUAAUGCAGCAAGUGAAGACUCUGACUCUGUUAGUGGCUUGGAUAAUGUGCCCUUUGAUAAACAGUACAGUAUGGGGGCACCAGCCAGUACGUACCGCUCAUCUGGCUAUAGCACAGUGUCAGCAGAAUCAACGUCCAGGGGCUCCACUAUUCAUUGUUGUGGACUGAAAGAUUUUUCAGAGGAAACAACAAUCCAGAAAAUGGAAAGGAUGAAAAAAAUGUUUGAAGAGACUGCAGAGCUACUGAAAUGCUCAAGUCGCUAACUAUAGAGUUUUUUGCAUGAACAUCUCUAGGACUUUGGCUACUUAUAGAUGAGUGAAGUCGUUACAGCAAGCUCUGUAUUUUUGUGUUGACAUUUACUGGCUGUGUGCUAAGUAACAUGUUUUUAGAAGUAAGGGCUGGAGAACCAUUGUCUACAUCCUACUGAAGGCAUUGCACCUAGGACUUGUAUAUUGUCCCCAGGAGGCAGGCUCUCAUAUGUACAGUCUUGCAGUCUGUGCAGGUGAAUAAAUUUUAAUGCAAAGUUAAAAUGUUCACUGAGAAUGAAACAAGUGCAGCUGUGUCUUCUUUAUUAACACUGCCAUACUGAGGGCAUGGUUCCUUAGUGUGUUCUAUGGGAAAUGUGCAGAGUGCCUAACACCGUCAGCACAGACAUAGAGGGAGGCCAUCCAUGUGAUACACGGUGAAGGAGAUUUUCACUUCUAAAAAUGAAAAGUUAUCAGCUUUUAAGGGCAGAAAAAGCCUUAAAGUUAAAUUGAAAGAAAAUUAAAAUCUCUUAGAAAGUUACUAUGUAAAUGUCCUUCUAACUUUGUAGAUAAAAAUGUGAUACUAAUUCUGGGUGAUAGUCAAAAUCCUGGAAAGAUAUCCUUCGAUUUUAUAUUUUAUGUUAGUCAUCUC